This 425-nucleotide ribosomal RNA is filed under the name uncultured bacterium. Its description in RNAcentral is "partial 16S ribosomal RNA". It matches the Rfam family "Bacterial small subunit ribosomal RNA", at positions 354 to 796 of the family's 1533-position model. The record is from RNAcentral.
GUGGGGAAUAUUGGGCAAUGGGCGAAAGCCUGACCCAGCAACGCCGCGUGAAGGAAGAAGGUCUUCGGAUCGUAAACUUCUAUCCUUGGUGAAGAUAAUGACGGUAGCCGAGAAGGAAGCCCCGGCUAACUACGUGCCAGCAGCCGCGGUAAUACGUAGGGGGCAAGCGUUGUCCGGAAUGAUUGGGCGUAAAGGGCGCGUAGGCGGCCUGGUAAGUCUGGAGUGAAAGUCCUGCUUUUAAGGUGGGAAUUGCUUUGGUUACUGUCGGGCUUGAGUGCAGGAGAGGUAAGUGGAAUUCCCGGUGUAGCGGUGAAAUGCGUAGAGAUCGGGAGGAACACCAGUGGCGAAGGCGACUUACUGGACUGUAACUGACGCUGAGGCGCGAAAGUGUGGGGAGCAAACAGGAUUAGAAACCCCUGUAGUCC